UACAGAGGGUGCAAGCGUUAAUCGGAAUUACUGGGCGUAAAGCGUGCGCAGACGGUUACAUAAGUCAGGUGUGAAAGCCCCGGGCUCAACCUGGGAAUUGCAUUUGAGACUGUGUAGCUAGGGUGCGGAAGAGGGAAGCGGAAUUUCCGGUGUAGCGGUGAAAUGCGUAGAUAUCGGAAGGAACACCAGUGGCGAAAGCGGCUUCCUGGUCCAGCACCGACGUUCAGGCACGAAAGCUAGGGGAGCAAACGGG
RNAcentral lists this ribosomal RNA (253 nucleotides) under uncultured bacterium. RNAcentral's name for it is "partial 16S ribosomal RNA". It matches the Rfam family "Bacterial small subunit ribosomal RNA", at positions 524 to 776 of the family's 1533-position model. The record is from RNAcentral.